GGAACUUGCAAUGCUUAGACCCUAUUUUAGUUCACAGAUCCAUUUGAGCCAAAACCUGAUCAAAAUACAAGCCCAUUAUAGUUCACACAUCAAAUACAAAAUACAAGCGUUUCUUAGUAGAUGCCAAGCUGCAUUACUUGAACAAGAUUCACAAGUUCAUGAUUUGGAAAAGAACUAAGAAAGGAUGGGUACUCCUUAUAUUAGUUAGCUGGAAGUUGCACGCAGAAGAAAUAAGAGUGCAAAAAGCUGAGAAAAUCUCCAAUACCCUGCGUGCUACAGCUUCAUUUCACGCAUAAAACCUCACACAAGAACAAGGAUGAUGAUCUUUCCCAAAGAUACUGAAGUUCAAUAUAUAUAAUCAUCAUCAAAGAUCAUGUAAUUGCCGCUCCUCCUGGCUCUUUCCUCUCUAUCAGCCUUGGUUAUAAGCCUCUCAAAAGCCUCAGUUCCAUUCUCUUCCAUAUAUUUCUCAGCAGCAGUUAAAAUGUCAU
RNAcentral lists this unclassified non-coding RNA (488 nucleotides) under Hevea brasiliensis (rubber tree). The record is from RNAcentral. Lineage: Eukaryota; Viridiplantae; Streptophyta; Magnoliopsida; Malpighiales; Euphorbiaceae.